AGGAAUCCCCUGCCCACCCCCAGGGCUCUCUGUCCACCGCCUGCCGCGCAUGCUGGGCUCUGUGCACACAGGGGAAUUGCCCUUUUCCCUCCCCUUCCCCUUUUCUGCUUUAGGCCCCACUUCAGCCCUUCUUAUGAACCAGGGAAAGAAGUAGCCUCUCCUGGUAGGAAACAUAAUAAGAUCUAUGGUAUUUAAUAAGAUCAUCCAAGACUCGGCGCUGUGGCAGUUUUCCAGUGACAUUCGUUCUUUUGGGAGGGAAUCUGAUCCAUGGAGCCUCUCUUAGGAACACGGUCGUGCAAGGAUCUGGGAAAGAACUCUGGAAAUGGGGUUGCGGUGGCCGGGGAACACAAAUGCAAAGGUUCCCAGGGGUAUGAGCUUGAUGUGCUUGUGGAACUAAAAGAAAAGCUGGCCAGGCAAGAUGCCUCAGCCAUGAAUCUAUGAGUGAGAAAAGAAAUCUUCUUGGAUAAAUCUGGAAACCAUCAUUCUCAGAAAACUGACACAAGAACAGAAAAUCAAACAUUGCAUAUUCUCACUCAUAGAACUGCCUAGAAUCUUUGACAUCUUCCUCAUCAUGGCCUUCCAUGCACAUCUGCAGGUCAAGCUUCUCCGACCAUGAAGCCGGUCCUUUCAGGUCUCACAAAUACACAGCUCAUGGAGUAUGGGUUCCAGGGAUGACACUCUGGGAAAUGAGUUCUGGUGAAAAGAGCAUUUUGCUAGAAUCACAUCCCAGAUCCAUCACUGCUCAGCCAGCUGUGUGAAUUGGGUGAAUCCCACAACCUCUCUGGGUCCCAGGUUCCCCACCUGACAAAGGAGGGUGAUGGUGCCCACCUCUCAGGAGCUGUGUGGGGGGAUUACUAGACAGUGCCAGAGAGUGUGCAGCUUGGGGCUGAUGCAGUUGCUCCCUAGGGGGGAGGCCUUGGUGGCAGGACCUCCUCUUCCUGCACUGCCUCUGCCACCAGAUGCAAAGGCUGAUUGUCACUGAGGUGUGUCAUGAGACCAUGGGGGCUGGGGUGGGGAGUGGGGAGAUGGAGUUAGAGUCUAGAAGACCGGGAAGGCUGAGUUGGAGCCAGCUGAAAGCAGGCUGGAUAACUGAAAGCCGAGAGCUGGGGAGGAGGCGGAAUAAUCCCAGAAAGUGCAGUCACUUGCAGAACUGGGGAUAGGGUAAGGCAUCAUCACCCUGGACACAAAAUUUAAGGGGGCGCCAAAAAUGUGCAAGAUAAAUAACAUUCUAAUGCAAUAUAAAAAAUAAUCAAAAGCCAAUAUUAGUGCACAAAAAUUCCUGAUGACUGAAGUGUCCUCUGGGCUUGGGCAUGAUGCUCAUAGUCACAGGGCUGAGCUCCCUCUGGGUUUGCUAAGAACAGGAACCUCCCACCCACCUCCUGCUCUGCACAGGGCCCAGGCUGGCGGGUGAGCUCAGAUCCACUCCUUCCUCUUGCCGCCCACUCUGGGCUCAUCUCCUGGAAGCCCCUCUCGACUCCUCUCAGCUGGACAGGACCUUGCUCUGGAAGCCCUUGGGGCACUGAGUACCCCUCUAACAGCACUUGCUCAAUCUUGGGUUUUAGGUGUUCUGGUUCGGUUCCCUCCCUUACCAUAGCUUGAAAUUCCUAAAGGCAGAGAAUGUGUGCCUUCACGAGCUGUGUGGGUGCAUUCAAAGUGAAAUCCACCAGGAAAACCAAACUGGGGCAUGAGAGGUGUGGCUGGGGUUAGGCUGCUCCUUCCUCAAGUGUGAUGUCACUUUACUGGCACAUCUUCUAGAGGUAGUGAUGGGAUACCCUGGAUUGGAGCUGUUCAUCGUUGUGCCUCUGAUAUGGUUUGGCUCUGUGUCCCUACCCACAUCUCACCUUGAAUUGUAAUAAUCCUUAUGUGUCAAGGAUGGGACCGGGCAGAGUAAUUGAAUCAUGCUGCAGGUUUUCCCCACUUUGUUCUUGUGUGAGUGAGUGAGUUCUCACGAGAUCUGAUGGUUUUAUAAACAUCUGGCAUUUCCCCCGCUAAUACUCAUUCUCUCUCCUGCCGCCCUGUGAAGAGGUGACUUCCGCCAUGAUUGUAAGUUUCCUGAGGCCUCCCCAGCCAUGCAGAACUGUGGGUCCAUUAAACCUCUUUUCUUUAUAAAUUUCCCAGUCUCUAUAACUCGAUCAAGACAGUUGCAGGUGGGCAAAUGAAAAAAAAUAAAAAUAAAUUACCCAGUCUCAGGAAUUUCUUCAUAGCAGCACGAGAACAGACUAAUACAGCCUUUCAGAGGACUAGCACAGCCCCAGUCUAAUGGCACUGGGAGCCCCUGGCCACUCUGCCAUAGUAGUCAUAACUACCAUGGACACUGGUGGUUAUAGACAUUGUCCCGUUUAAUAUUCACAAUCUUGCUGAUUGCUGUCCCAUUUUACAGGUGAGUAAACCAGUGCUUCAGGCAGUUACAUUUGUGAGGUUUGUGAAGCUGAUAAACCGUGGGCAGGGCAGGAUUCCAUGCCCAGGUCUCCCUGACUCCACACCCACGUGCUAAACCUUAGGCUGUGGGGGAUACGUGGGGAUGAGAACCCUCUCAACACCGGGGUGGAGAUUUUGGGAGCUCUGAUGACAGCUUUUCCUGUCCAUGGUAAAGGAGAAAAGGGAAGACUCUCUCUCUCUAGACUCUCUGCAUAGGAAUAUCUCUGUUCUAUUUGAGGGGUCCUCUGUCUCUCCCUCCCCAUCACAAACCACACACUGUGGCAGGGGCUGGUGGUGGGAGGUUGCUGGAGCUGCUCUCAUUAUAAAAUUGCCUUGGAGAUGGUCCCAGCCUCAGCCCACCUAUAUUGAUAAGUCUUGGGCUGCAGACUUAUUAUUUGAUAUUUAUAAUACCCUGUUCUGCACCCUCAUGAUGGAUGGUUCAUACGUUGGGAUCAAUAUGGGCCUGGUAACAUUUACAUAUUUAUAUUAUUAAUAAGCAAUAAGUCACCCAGGCAGCCCUGCUCUGGGUGUUCCAUGCCUUCCCUGCAGACAGCUAACCUUGUCCUCCAUCUCUUGCCUCAGCCCUGAUGGCUGGUAUUGAUCUGCUCAGCUGGAAGGGGGCACAGAACAGAGCAUGGAGCCAGGCAGUGUCAGAGCCGGGGAAAUGACACUGGUGUCUUUUGCCUUCUGUUUGACCCACCAGCUCUUGACACUCCAGCAUGGAGGGGGACCCUCCUGUGUGGUCUUCUGCAGACAGCAACCACCUGGCUGGUGGAUGGCUUUCUCCUUAAUGCCUCCUCAUCCAGCUUGCCAUCUCUGUCCUCUCUGCCCUCCCCCCAGGUCCUUGGUGGUGCAUACCUGGAUGCUGACCUGCCUCUUCUCUGCCUCCAGCCAUCCACACUCCUGUGUCCCACCUGCUCUGCUGCCAGAAUUUGCUUCUCACUGCCCUGCCGAGUGCCUGCUUGGGGUCACCACUCUGCUCUGAAAUCUCUCAUGCUUUUCACCUGCUGACUCCUCUACCCACCUUCAAGACCCGUGGUCAUCUACCUGCUGGCUGACCUGGUGUCCUGCCUUUUCCCAACCUGCAUCUCUGCUAGCCUGGCCCAUAUCUUGCCAUCAUCCAACACAUGUGCAUGCACACACAUACACAUGCACACACAUACACAUUCACAUACAUGUGCACACACACAUGCACACACACAUACGUGCACACACACACUUGUUAUACUCACCUCUUGGUUUAUUCUGGUCCACCCUCCUAGAAUGCCCUUCCAGAUAUCUCUGCCAGCACAAAAGUCUACUCCUCCUGUGAGGUGACCUCAAGUUCCAUCCACCCUAUAAAGUGCUGCCCAGGUUUUCUAAAAAGGUUUAGGACAGAUAAAAAGAAUGCAUAAAAUAUAAGAAGACUGGCAUAAAUGAAGAGUUUGGUCAAACAAGAAUGAUGUAAAAUGGAGCAGACGUAAAACUAAAGAUGCGUGUCCCUGUGGGAUACACGUUGAAACAACUUUGAUUCUAAGUUUUCCAAUAAUCACAGUGAAAUGGGUCACAUGGCGGAGUCUAUGUCUCCUCCCUGGAAUCCAGGCUCUGUGACCACUUCAUUGAUAGAAAAGGUGGAAAUGAUGCUGCGUUCAUUUCUGGGACAAGGACUUCAGAAACGAGAAACUUGACCUACUUGCCUCUCGAAGGAGUGCUCUUAGAACUCGCCAUAUUGUGAGGAAGCCAACAGCAUAUGAAGAGGCCAAGGAAAAGCCAGCUGUCAUAUGAUGAGCAGCCCCAUGGAGAGGGUGUGUGGGAAGAACCUGGAAUCUCCAGCCAGCAGCCAUGUGAAUGCAUCAUCUUGAAAGCAGAUCCUCCAGCCCCAGUCCAGCCUUCAGAUGACUGCAGCCCUGGCCAAUAUCUCAACUGCAGCCUCAUGAGAGAACCCAGACUAGAACACCCAGCUGAGCCCUCCUGGAUUCCUGACCCUCAGAAACCAUUAGAGAUGGGGUUUCAUCAUGUUGGCCCGGCUGGUCUCGAACUCCUGACCUUGUGAUUCACCUGCCUCGGCCUCCCAAAGUGCUGGGAUUACAGGUGUGAGCCACUGCACCCGGCUUGACCAUUCGGUUCUGAGAUAACUGAGUCUUCUUUGGAUCUUCUUCUAAACUUGGUGCAAACUGGAGGCGCUUAAUAAAUGCUUUUGGGAUGCAUGAAUGCAUAUUGGACACCAUAUCUGACUGUGUCCCUUUUUGCAUGAUUGGGCUAACUUCCAACUGCCAGCUUUGGCCUCUCAGAGCCUUGGGAGGCCCCUCAGCCUAUAUGUGCAGCAAGCCAGAAAAGCCUUGAAUGAGCAUCACCCAGAAGCAGCCUCAGCUGAGGAUGAUCAUGAGUUGACAUGCAAACAUCUCAGCUUACCCCUUAUGUAGGUUUGGGAGUGGAUGGUUUCAGAUCCUGCGUUUUGUGUCAUUUUGAGUUUCCCCACAGGAUGCAGCCCUAGUGCCCCUUUUGGCAGUGGGCUUAUGACAGCCCUUCCCUGAAUGCCUUCCCUUCUCUGGGUCACUUCCUUGUUCUCCUGCUGGGGCUCCCCCCAUAACCAGUACCUCUCAAAUAGACGAUUUGUGCUCAGCUCCACUCAGGGUCUGCUUCUUAGGGAACCAAGCCACGAUUAUGGAGAGGCAGAGCCUGGAUAUGUGGAGAAGCAAGGUGCCCCCAGCCCAGGCCUCAGAAUUGCACAGAGGACAUCUGGAGAGCUGAGCCCCUGGUGAUGUGACCUUGCCUGAUGUGCAGAGAGGACACUGGGCCUUCCAAAGCUGGACCCAAUUUUAGAGCGUUGCCGAGCCACACCUCUGAUCCGGGAGCCCUGUUCUUGGUUUGAAACUUUCACCUCGGCAGGGCCUCUGUCUACCUUGGGAGGGGAGAGCAGGUCCAAGGGUGAUGUCAGCUGCCUCAGCAUAGAGCCUGCAGCUGGCACUGCUGGGAGGCAUGGCAAGCUUUCUGCACAGAAGAGGCUGUUCCCAGGCAGAUGGCACUUUGCUAACAUGUUGGUGGUGUGACCGCAUGGUUUCCAAUGCUUAGAGUGUUUGUACCCUUCACAGGGGCUUCCCCUGAGGGGUUACAGGAGGGAGUCAGACCGCAUCUGGCUUCUGGAAAACCCCAGUUUUUACCAGCCUCACCUUCCACCUGGAGCCCCUUCAGCUCUGCCUUUUGUUCUCCCCCUUCGAUCCUAGUCCCUUUCUUCAGCUCUCAGGGUCCGGCUGUUGUAUCCUGCGGGGCUUGGCUUCCACCUGACCAGUGAGAACUGGAGCUUGGUGGGUGGGCACUGGCCUGCUCGGUGUCUCCCUUCUUAUCCCUGUUCACCAGGGAAUGAAGGUUCCAGGGCAGCACAGGAUUUACUGUGAAAGAUCCUGAGCCCGUGGCUCCUACUCAAAACCAGAUUCAUUCGUGACUUCCAUUACCCAGGCACUGGCUGUGUUCUAAGCUGGGAGAUGCCACAGGCGGUGUAAAGACCCAGUGGGUCCACCCUCAAGAGAGUAGGCAAGAUAGAGCAGAGGAACAAGAACAGAGCAGGGGAAGCCAUCAGUGCCCCAUGAAGAAGCCGGAUAGCUCUCGUAGGGGCCUCCUUGUGCUAGAUGCCUUCAUGAACAAGCAUUCCUGAGGUCCUUCCAGUGGGGCGGAGAGCUGCUCCUCCCCAUAGCCACCCUCAGCCUUUCCUGACUGCUGCUCUGUGCUGGGAGGCAGAGCUCCGUAGACUGCUCACUAAGCUAUCGACUCAGGUCACAGAGAGAGGGUGGGGAUUUUCCCAGCCUCCGACUCCUGUCAAAGCCCUGUUCCCAUUCUGCAGCCUUCUACAGCGAAGGGACAGCUGUGCUUUCUCCAGGCACUCACUUGUUGCACAAAAAUAUGGUUUCCCUAAACCCUGCCCACAUCUUGGAAUAAAGCCGCUUCCAGGGCCAGCUGUGUGGGCCUGUGACCCACGACGUCAUCCUGUUCCCGGCGCUUAGAAGGGUCCACGUCUGCUCUAAUGCCCUGCUGUUAUCAUCUUGAAAUUCUUAACAGUUUUUAACCAAGGGACCUGCAUUUUCCUUUGCUCUAGAUCUGCAGGUUAUGUAGCUGUUCUUGGUCCCUUGUCUAAGGCUCCCUGGUCAGCCUGUUGGCAGGUGCCAUCUGCUUGCUGCCGGCUUCAUUUUUCAUCAGCAAACAGAGGUUGAAGGAAGCCUAAUAACUUGCCUGAGACCAUAGAACUAGUAAGUAGCAGAGCCGGGAUUUGAAUGUGCAACUUCCACCUUGGUAGCCCCUGUUUGAGUCCCCAGAUGAAACGCCUGUGAUGUCAGUCUGCAGCACUUUGCAUAUAAACUGAUUGCUCCUCCCUGGUGGGAAAGUCACGAGGCUUCCGGUGGCCCCUAUUUCUCUCCUCCUGAUUCUGGUGGUUUUCCUGAUUGCCUUGGCCCAGCCGUGCUCAAAGCCUCCCGCUGGCCUGAAUCACAGAUGCAGCUGCCCUGACCUCCUGGUGAUGGAGAGGCCAGGCCUCUCCCUGAUCACAUGAGCUGGGUUCCUCCAUCCCUACCAGCCUCCCCUCCUGUCUGCCACUUGCUGCUCCCAGCAGAGAGACCUUCACUCCUCAGUGCAGCCUUGAAGCUCAGGCCUGGACAUGAUGGAUGAGAAAGGGAAAUUUGGAAAGGACUUAACGUUCUUACCAGCUGCCUCUAAUUUUAUUUUGAAGAGAAGAAAGAGAGGGGCAUUGGCAGACAGGAGACGCUUCCCCUGAUGGAGCUGAGCUGGGAGUCAAGAUAAAUGAAGGCUCCUUUUGGACACUUGUUCCAACCCUCAAACUCUGUUUUCCUGGCAGACAGGCACGUGAUCACACCCUGCCGGGGGGCCCUGGGUGAAGCUGCUGUUCAGAUGCCCAUUGGAUGUUGGGGGUCUGGAAGGUUUCCACCCCUUUCAGCCUUUGAUCUUGGCCUUUCUGGUCAGCCUAGUCCCUUUGGAGACCACUGGACCUCCAGAAAAAUGGGAAGGACUCCGACUCUGGAUUCAGACAAAUCUGGGUCCGCUGCUCUUUCAUUUCCUGCAGGCCAGCAGGUGCAAUACUGAACCAAACCCGAAGGGCCCUGCGGUGAAUGAGUUUGGAUGCUGUCUCUGCCACGUCCUAGCAAGGCGACCUUGAGCAAGCUCCUUAACUCUCAGAGCUUUGUUUUCCUUCUCCGGGACACAGGGGAAGUCGCACCGGUUCUCAGCAUAAAUGUGAGCAUGGAGUUUUUGCAUAUAAGAGCUUUGCUGUAUGUUUGACACACUGUUCUGACUCCAGUGUACUAACCACUGGCAUUAUUUGGCAAAGGACGGUAGGCAAGACACAGCUUGGAGGGUGGUGGUCUGAGGGGAAUGGUGUCUGGUGUCCCAAGUUUGUGCCCUGUUUAUAAAUGCCCAGAAUCCAGUCCAGCACAGA
Molecule: non-coding RNA, 7837 nt
Organism: Callithrix jacchus (white-tufted-ear marmoset)
Lineage: Eukaryota; Metazoa; Chordata; Mammalia; Primates; Cebidae
Source: RefSeq, a predicted model, not a curated record